GAUGAACGCUGGCGGCGUGCCUAAUACAUGCAAGUCGAGCGAACGGACGAGAAGCUUGCUUCUCUGAUGUUAGCGGCGGACGGGUGAGUAACACGUGGAUGACCUACCUAUAAGACUGGGAUAACUUCGGGAAACCGGAGCUAAUACCGGAUAAUAUUUUGAACCGCAUGGUUCAAAAGUGAAAGACGGUCUUGCUGUCACUUAUAGAUGGAUCCGCGCUGCAUUAGCUAGUUGGUAAGGUAACGGCUUACCAAGGCAACGAUGCAUAGCCGACCUGAGAGGGUGAUCGGCCACACUGGAACUGAGACACGGUCCAGACUCCUACGGGAGGCAGCAGUAGGGAAUCUUCCGCAAAGGGCGAGAGCCUGACGGAGCAACGCCGCGUGAGUGAUGAAGGUCUUCGGAUCGUAAAACUCUGUUAUUAGGGAAGAACAUAUGUGUAAGUAACUGUGCACAUCUUGACGGUACCUAAUCAGAAAGCCACGGCUAACUACGUG
RNAcentral lists this ribosomal RNA (497 nucleotides) under uncultured bacterium. RNAcentral describes it as "partial 16S ribosomal RNA". It matches the Rfam family "Bacterial small subunit ribosomal RNA", at positions 28 to 507 of the family's 1533-position model. The record is from RNAcentral.